This is a long non-coding RNA of Hippocampus comes (tiger tail seahorse), 231 nucleotides long. RefSeq lists it as uncharacterized. The record is from RefSeq and is a predicted model, not a curated record. The transcript has 3 exons. Lineage: Eukaryota; Metazoa; Chordata; Actinopteri; Syngnathiformes; Syngnathidae.
AUGACUAAUAUCCCAUCAGCUUGCUGAGUCAAUUCCAGUAAGUUCUGAGACUCUUUUUCAUUUGUAUCUGCAUGACGGAGACUACAGGUGAGGCUGGAAAAGACAACAUCAUCAACACACACCACCAGCACUGGAGCCCCGCAGGGAUGCGUCCUCUCUCCACUGCUCUUCUCCCUCUACACAAACAAUUGCACCGCAACACACCCAGCCGUCAAAAUCAUAAAUUCGCAG